GUGUCAGCCGCCGCGGUAAGACAGAGGGGGCAAGCGUUGCUCGGAAUCACUGGGCGUAAAGGGCGCGUAGGCGGGAUGGCAAGUCAGUCGUGAAAUCUCUCGGCUCAACCGAGAAACGUCGGCUGAUACUGCCGUUCUUGAGGGAUGCAGAGGAGACUGGAAUUCCCGGUGUAGCGGUGAAAUGUGUAGAGAUCGGGAGGAACACCGGUGGCGAAGGCGGGUCUCUGGGCAUCUCCUGACGCUGAGGCGCGAAAGCGUGGGGAGCAAACGGGAUUAGAUACCCCCGUAGUCC
RNAcentral lists this ribosomal RNA (292 nucleotides) under uncultured bacterium. RNAcentral's name for it is "partial 16S ribosomal RNA". It matches the Rfam family "Bacterial small subunit ribosomal RNA", at positions 505 to 796 of the family's 1533-position model. The record is from RNAcentral.